This 500-nucleotide ribosomal RNA is filed under the name uncultured bacterium. RNAcentral describes it as "partial 16S ribosomal RNA". It matches the Rfam family "Bacterial small subunit ribosomal RNA", at positions 29 to 523 of the family's 1533-position model. The record is from RNAcentral.
AGUGAACGCUGGCGGUAGGCCUAACACAUGCAAGUCGAACGGCAGCACGGGAGCAAUCCUGGUGGCGAGUGGCGAACGGGUGAGUAAAGUAUCGGAACGUGCCCAGUCGUGGGGGAUAACGUAGCGAAAGUUACGCUAAUACCGCAUACGAUCUAUGGAUGAAAGCGGGGGAUCGCAAGACCUCGCGCGAUUGGAGCGGCCGAUAUCAGAUUAGGUAGUUGGUGGGGUAAAGGCUCACCAAGCCGACGAUCUGUAGCUGGUCUGAGAGGACGACGAGCCACACUGGGAAUGAGACACGGCCCAGACGCCUACGGGAGGCAGCAGUGGGGAAUUUUGGACAAGGGGCGCAAGCCUGAUCCAGCCAUGCCGCGUGCAGGAUGAAGGCCUUCGGGUUGUAAACUGCUUUUGUACGGAACGAAAAGGUUUGGCCUAAUACGCUGAACUCAUGACGGUACCGUAAGAAUAAGCACCGGCUAACUACGUGCCAGCCGCCGCAGUAA